Molecule: long non-coding RNA, 388 nt
Filed under: Salvia miltiorrhiza (redroot sage)
Lineage: Eukaryota; Viridiplantae; Streptophyta; Magnoliopsida; Lamiales; Lamiaceae
Description: long non-coding RNA (SMIL_LNC002529)
Source: RNAcentral
AGGCAGCUAUUAAAGCUCAGCGUGUUAAGGAGGCUCUUCAGUCAAACAGAGAUUGCGCUCUUAAACGGCCGCGUGGUAGGCCGCCUAAGCGACAGGGUACUCAAACCGGGAAGAACGACCCGCCGGCAGGAACAAUUAAAUCUAGGCUGCGUGGAACAGAAGAGGUGGAACGUAAUCAACAAUCUGAGGAUUUGAUUAACAGACGUAUGCAAGAGGCGAAAGAGUUGGGGCAUAACCCAAUGGGUUAUGUGAUUGAACAGCGGACGUCGAAGAGCGGCAAAGUUAUGAGUAACGUUGCUGACUUUACGGCUAACAGUUGGGCAGCUAAAGUGGAGAGGGGGGAGUCCCAAUCCACUAACACUCAUUAGUUUUUAUGAACUUGCUUGUU